GAGGCCAAAGCUUCCAGAGGCAGAAGUCCAAGAAUGGAGGAGUGGUGGCUGAGGCAUGGGACCAAGCUUGUCUCCUCUCUUCCCCUCUCCUCCAGCUGCCUCCCUUCUAGAUGUGAUCAGAGCCCUGAGUCCUGUGCAGCCCUGGCAGCAAGGCACUCCCUGAGGGCUGGAGCUUUUGUCUUGGGAACCCAGCAAUCUCAACACAAUAGGAAAUGCUUCUGCUCUGGCUGCUUAUAUCCCCCGACUGGUGCAAUCGACAGAUGUAGCAGUGCAUAUCCACAGAGUGCCUGGAACCUGGGGUAUCCAUCUUGUGGGGGAAAGAGGAAUAUGGUUUGUCCCACAAAUGCAAACCGGAGUCUUUCCUAGAAGGGGUAUAAUAUCAGAAUCGAGGAUAUGGUGACUAUUGUGUUUCUAUCAACUACCUAUUGGACAGUUUAACUUUGGCUUCUCUUUGGUAUCCCUAGUACUUUGCAAAAGUGCCUGGCUCUUGGCAGUCAUAUACUAGCAUGCAAUAAAUGUUUAUAGACUGGCUGACUGGUCCA
RNAcentral lists this long non-coding RNA (542 nucleotides) under Monodelphis domestica (gray short-tailed opossum). Its description in RNAcentral is "lncRNA (ENSMODG00000047126.1)". The record is from RNAcentral. Lineage: Eukaryota; Metazoa; Chordata; Mammalia; Didelphimorphia; Didelphidae.